This is a small nuclear RNA of Callithrix jacchus (white-tufted-ear marmoset), 104 nucleotides long. Lineage: Eukaryota; Metazoa; Chordata; Mammalia; Primates; Cebidae. The record is from Ensembl.
GUGCUCACUUUGGCAGCACAUAUACUAAAAUUGGAACUAUACAGAGAUUAGCAUGGCCCCUGCACAAGGAUGACACACAAACUCAUGAAGUGUUCCAUAUUUAA